GAAAAUUAAGCUGAAGUCGCACCUGAGGGGAAGGCUGGAAGAAUAGCUGCCCACUGCUGAGCUUCGUUCAUCAGGUCCCACCUGCAUCCGUCACUUUAAAUAUCGUACCGUCCAGCUGCAGCAGAUCAUCAGGUCCAGUUCUGGAAGCUGGAGUCCAGCUGGUAUCAGAGGUAUACGAGUCCUGAGUCUGAGGGUCUCCAGAGCUCCUCAGUAUCAGUAUCUAGAACUCAGCGCUUCAGAACCGGACUGGCCCGUUCUGGAUCUUUCUGAAGAGCCUGAAGAACCUGCCGGAACCACAGCCACAAACAGGAAGUGUGCUACGCAAAUUAUGCUACCUCUAAUACAUAAGCUCACAGAUGCCUCCUGCUGACCAACAUCACCUUUGGGUCCUAGGACUGAUGAGGGGAAAGCGCCACACACUGAACCCACCCAGAGAGAGCAAAGCCAGUUGUGCUCUCUCAAACUGCUGAUGGCAAGCUGCAUGACCGGGAUUCGAACCAGCAAUUUCCUGAUUAUAGCCAAGUCUUCAAAAUGCCAAACAUUUAGGCCAUAUUUAGUGUAAAAUCAAUGAGAAAACAUCUAAAGACUUAAUGACCAUUGGAAACAAAACCAUUGUCCUUUACCCUGUACUUUAU
Molecule: long non-coding RNA, 635 nt
Filed under: Astyanax mexicanus (Mexican tetra)
Lineage: Eukaryota; Metazoa; Chordata; Actinopteri; Characiformes; Acestrorhamphidae
Description: lncRNA (ENSAMXG00005006383.1)
Source: RNAcentral